This 170-nucleotide unclassified non-coding RNA is filed under the name uncultured Ascomycota. RNAcentral describes it as "sequence contains ITS1". Lineage: Eukaryota; Fungi; Ascomycota. The record is from RNAcentral.
CAGGAGAGUUGAAAGACUCGCCCAACCCUUUGUGAACAUACCGGAAUCGUCGCUUCGGCGGGCAGCCCCAGGGCGGGGCCGCCGCCUCCCUCUCCGGGGGGAGGUGCCCGCCGGUAGCUACACAAACUCCUGCUUUACGAGGCCAUCUGAGUAACCAUACAAAUAAAUCA